UGGGGAAUAUUGCACAAUGGGGGAAACCCUGAUGCAGCGACGCCGCGUGAGUGAAGAAGUAUUUCGGUAUGUAAAGCUCUAUCAGCAGGGAAGAAGAAGGACGGUACCUGAGUAAGAAGCCCCGGCUAACUACGUGCCAGCAGCCGCGGUAAUACGUAGGGGGCAAGCGUUAUCCGGAUUUACUGGGUGUAAAGGGAGCGUAGACGGCGGAGAAAGUCUGAAGUGAAAGCCCGCGGCUUAACCGCGGAACUGCUUUGGAAACUUUUUUGCUGGAGUACCGGAGAGGUAAGCGGAAUUCCUAGUGUAGCGGUGAAAUGCGUAGAUAUUAGGAGGAACACCAGUGGCGAAGGCGGCUUACUGGACGGUAACUGACGUUGAGGCUCGAAAGCGUGGGGAGCAAACAGG
This 405-nucleotide ribosomal RNA is filed under the name uncultured bacterium. RNAcentral describes it as "bacterial SSU rRNA". It matches the Rfam family "Bacterial small subunit ribosomal RNA", at positions 355 to 776 of the family's 1533-position model. The record is from RNAcentral.